AUUGAACGCUGGCGGCAGGCCUAACACAUGCAAGUCGAGCGGAUGAAGGGAGCUUGCUCCUGGAUUCAGCUGCGGACGGGUGAGUAAUGCCUAGGAAUCUGCCUGGUAGUGGGGGAUAACGUCCGGAAACGGGCGCUAAUACCGCAUACGUCCUGAGGGAGAAAGUGGGGGAUCUUCGGACCUCACGCUAUCAGAUGUGCCUAGGUCGGAUUAGCUAGUUGGUGGGGUAAAGGCCUACCAAGGCGACGAUCCGUAACUGGUCUGAGAGGAUGAUCAGUCACACUGGAACUGAGACACGGUCCAGACUCCUACGGGAGGCAGCAGUGGGGAAUAUUGGACAAUGGGCGAAAGCCUGAUCCAGCCAUGCCGCGUGUGUGAAGAAGGUCUUCGGAUUGUAAAGCACUUUAAGUUGGGAGGAAGGGCAGUAAGUUAAUACCUUGCUGUUUUGACGUUACCAACAGAAUAAGCACCGGCUAACUUCGUG
Molecule: ribosomal RNA, 484 nt
Filed under: uncultured bacterium
Lineage: Bacteria
Description: partial 16S ribosomal RNA
Rfam family: Bacterial small subunit ribosomal RNA
Source: RNAcentral